AUUGAACGCUGGCGGCAGGCCUAACACAUGCAAGUCGAGCGGAGCGGCGGACGGGUGAGUAAUGCCUAGGAAUCUGCGUGGUAGUGGGGGAUCACGUCCGGAAACGGGCGCUAAUACCGCAUACUAGCAGAGUAGCCUAGGUCUGAGUAGCUAGUUGGUGGGGGAAAGGCCUACCAAGGCGACGAGCCGUAACGGGUCUGAGAGGAGGAUCAGGAACACUGGAACUGAGACACGGUACAGACUCCUACGGGAGGCAGCAGGGGGGAAUAGUGGACAAUGGGCGAAAGCCUGAUCCAGCCAUGCCGCGUGUGUGAAGAAGGUCUUCGGAUUGUAAAGCACUGUAAGUUGGGAGGCGUUACCAACAGAAUAAGCACCGGCUAACUCCGUGCCAGCAGCCGCGGUAAUUC
RNAcentral lists this ribosomal RNA (407 nucleotides) under uncultured bacterium. RNAcentral describes it as "partial 16S ribosomal RNA". It matches the Rfam family "Bacterial small subunit ribosomal RNA", at positions 29 to 526 of the family's 1533-position model. The record is from RNAcentral.